UGAACACUUGACCUCAAAUCAGGCGGGACUACCCGCUGAACUUAAGCAUAUCAAUAAGCGGAGGAAAAGAAACUAACAAGGAUUCCCCUAGUAACUGCGAGUGAAGCGGGAAGAGCUCAAAUUUAAAAUCUGGCGGCUUCGUCGUCCGAGUUGUAAUUUAGAGAAGUGUUUUCCGCGCUGGACCGUGUACAAGUCUCCUGGAACGGAGCGUCAUAGAGGGUGAGAAUCCCGUCUUUGACACGGACCCCCAGUGCUCUGUGAUACGCUCUCGAAGAGUCGAGUUGUUUGGGAAUGCAGCUCAAAAUGGGUGGUGAACUCCAUCUAAAGCUAAAUAUUGGCGAGAGACCGAUAGCGAACAAGUACCGUGAGGGAAAGAUGAAAAGCACUUUGGAAAGAGAGUGAAACAGUACGUGAAAUUGCUGAAAGGGAAACGCUUGAAGUCAGUCGCGUCCGCCGGAAUUCAGCCCUCGUGGUGUACUUUCCGACGGACGGGCCAGCAUCACUUUUGACCGCCGGAAAAGGGCGGAGGGAAUGUGGCACCUCCGGGUGUGUUAUAGCCCUCCGUCGUAUACGGUGAUUGGGAGUGAGGACCGCCUAUCUUGUAGGAUGCUGGCGUAAUGGCUUUAAACGACCCGUCUUGAAACACGGACCAAG
RNAcentral lists this ribosomal RNA (654 nucleotides) under Dichostereum orientale. RNAcentral describes it as "eukaryotic LSU rRNA". It matches the Rfam family "Eukaryotic large subunit ribosomal RNA", at positions 1 to 670 of the family's 3401-position model. Lineage: Eukaryota; Fungi; Basidiomycota; Agaricomycetes; Russulales; Lachnocladiaceae. The record is from RNAcentral.